Musa acuminata subsp. malaccensis (wild Malaysian banana) is the source of this 801-nucleotide non-coding RNA. The record is from RefSeq and is a predicted model, not a curated record. Lineage: Eukaryota; Viridiplantae; Streptophyta; Magnoliopsida; Zingiberales; Musaceae.
CUCGCAUUUCAAGAGGCAGGAGGAGAGGGAAAGGCUGGGGCUGAGAUUAUGGCGGGCUAGAGAUGAAGGUCACUGAGAAUGUUACACGUACCAAUUGAAAUUAAGCAUGAUAAACUAGAUCUCCACAAAAGCAGCCCGAAGUGGACAGACACCACACAUCCAGCGCUGGAACAUCAUGGCUAUUGUUAAAUGCAGUAUCAGUGCACUCCGCUUUGGUGCUUUCCAAGACGAGUCUGCAAGUUAGUUCUGUGAGGAAGCAUACGAGAUCUUCUUCUCAAGGAAUCAGGAGACUCAUCUGUUCCCAGAAAUGGACUGCUAACUAAAAGUUUCUCGCUGCUGACUUGCCCACAGAGAUGCAAAAGAGACAGGAGAGCUAUCGUGGUUGAUUCAUUAGAGAUCUCCUUGCCGAUGACCUGAAACAACACAUGCAACUCCAGCGAGAAGAGGAGAGAGGGAGGCAUGUACACUACCAUGUCUAUGUCGGAUGAGGUCUCUUGCAAGUGCUCAUCAUGUUCUCUUCCUCCUCACAUAAAACAAAUGCAUGCCUACUUACUGCCAUGUCGUUGCAUCCUUUUUCCCUUUGGCUAAAACACAUGCGUGGUGUUUCUGAUAGCAGAAAGGCGACCAGCUCAGCUGUGGUUUCUGGAAAGAACAUAUGUUUGCUUGCUGACUGACAACUUUGUUGUCCUUCAAGAGCACCAGGUGGAUGUAGUAAGUCUUGAAAGGACACGUAAUCCACCCACAUUGAUGUGCUAUUAGGUUAACUUAGUGUUUUUAUUUUGAUACUGAAAUUAAAUUUCA